RNAcentral lists this long non-coding RNA (1398 nucleotides) under Cavia porcellus (domestic guinea pig). Its description in RNAcentral is "lncRNA (ENSCPOG00000034142.1)". Lineage: Eukaryota; Metazoa; Chordata; Mammalia; Rodentia; Caviidae. The record is from RNAcentral.
AUUUGUUGAUCUUUCAGGUCUCUUCCACUGAGUUUAUGGUUCCAUGAAUCAUUCCUCGGACACAGGCCAAGUCAGUGAUGAAGUGGUCUGGGGAGUCGUGGGGUCAGAGUUGAAAUGGAGAUGUAGUGAGGGGUGAGAACCGGGGUUCCGAGGGAGGAGAUGCUAAAUGACAGCACAGUGUCAGGAAAUAAGUUUUUUCCCUUGCAAAACUUGGUAAUCAGACGGGAUAUCGGAGAAGUGCACUGGUAGAGAGAAGCAUUAGCCAGUUAGAGAAUGGCAGGGGGGUGGUGGCCUGGUCAAGGGGGAGGACAAGUCCAGGGGUGUUGUGGAUGAAGAAGAUGGCUGCAAUCUCACCCUCCAUUGCUCCCAAAGGAAGGACAAUGCCAUUGUCUUCUGAGUUCAUCUGCAAACACAAAAAAGAACAACUACUGCCUUGGAUACUACAUUGUAAUGUAAAACCUGCGCGAUUUUCUGAGUGGAAACAAAGAUCCACUUGCAAUUUUGCACCCAUACUGCACUCCAGACCCUAUGGUGUUACAGGAAGCGGAGGGACUAAGACUCCAGACUGCCUUCUCGGGGGUUUAAGCAUCAGGUAGGGUGAGGAGGGCGGUACAUUCACCACUGUGAAGCAAAAACGGAAAAGUAGUGUAAUAAAAAUAGAUACAUAGAGGUUUUGAAAAGGAGGUAUUAGUCAAGGGUUCUCCAGAGAAUAAAGAAGUGUGUGUGUGUGUGUGUGUGUGUGUGUGUGUGGAGAGAGAGAGAGAGAGAGAGAGAGAGAGAGAGAGAGAGAGAGAGAGAGAAUGGCAAAUCUGAAUUCUACAAGGAGGCCAGGGAAGAGCUGCUGUUGCCCUUGGAGUCCAGAGGAAACCUGGGGCCCCUUCUCUCCCUCAGAGGAUGCCGAUCUCUUCUCUGAGCUCUUCCACUGAUUGAAUAAGGUCCAAGCAUGUUAUGGAGGGUCAUUGCUUUACUCAGAAGCUGCUGAUCUGAAUGUUAACCGCCUUUGAAACUCACUUUGGUGAACACAUUUUGACUGACUUUUUGGGCACAUAGGUAGGUACCAUGGCCUAACCAAGUUGACACACAUGACUAACCACUGCAAUGUAGAGAAUUAAGCUUUGAGGGUAACACUAGAAAAUCUUGAUAGACAAUAAGAUGUGAGGAUUAGGGGGUUAGAAGUGUGCACAUUUGAGAAAAUAAGAGGGUUGUGAAACUAAUGCUAAAUUGGCAACGAAGUAUUAAUUUAGGCAGCAAAUGGACAUGAUCCUUGUUAAGACUGAUGCACUGUAUUAACUUGAGAAGUUUGGAAGUUUAAGAAGUUCAGUAGGGGGCCAGGAGCCUUACACAUCCUCAUCCUAUGCAAGAGGAAGGCACAGAGAUUUUGUGAGAGCUAUAUCUGCC